AUGUUUAAAAAUCAAAUGAUGUCCCACAUAAAUAAAAACAAGACAUUUUUCUCUAGCUUUAUUCACUUAAAACUGAACUAUCUGCCAACUCAUGCUUAAAACAACUACAGAAUGUGCUAGUUGUGAAAUAUAAAAUCCUACGUUAUUCACUAAAACAUGUUAAAGAUUUUUCUAAUGUAUAGAAAAAGAGGACAUCUACAGCUACAUCUCAUAAUGAAAAUUAAGUGUUUAAAAAAUGAUUCAUAAAACUACACUGGGUUGUGCAUGAUAAAUGUUUAGAUCUAGCCCACAUAAUAAAUUAUGCAAUGAAAACAUGAAUGUAAAACACAUGAGUCAUAACAAAAGUUCUUAAUGAAUUGCAGAAAUGUAUUGACCAACAGUAAUGCAUCACAUUCCACAGAAUAUGAUUUAGAUUAAUUUCAAUCAACAGAAUGCGACAAACUUUCAUACAACAUAAUAAUGUACAGUGAUCACCAUUUCACACAUUUUCCCACACACACUUAGUAGAUCUUAGCUAACAGAGAAACAUUCUUG
Biomphalaria pfeifferi is the source of this 534-nucleotide non-coding RNA. The record is from the annotation of a GenBank genome assembly. Lineage: Eukaryota; Metazoa; Mollusca; Gastropoda; Planorbidae.